RNAcentral lists this non-coding RNA (178 nucleotides) under Bacillota bacterium. RNAcentral describes it as "6S RNA". It matches the Rfam family "6S / SsrS RNA". Rfam says of the family: E. coli 6S RNA was the first non coding RNA to be sequenced, but its function was unknown until recently. The record is from RNAcentral. Lineage: Bacteria; Bacillati; Bacillota.
AUCUGCCUGGGACUUUAGUCGGGGAUCAUAAUUGAACCUACACUUAUUGCACGGGAAUCCGAGUUCAGAGUGAAAUAUGCCGAGCCUCCUUUGAGUGGAGGGCAGAAAGCACCGACAGGAUACCCACCUAUCAUUCGAUAGGGCGUCAAUUAUACCUGACGGAGCCUCCGGGUAGUUU